UGGGGAAUAUUGGACAAUGGGCGCAACCCUGAUCCAACCAUGCCGCGUGAGUGAUGAAGGCCUUAGGGUCGUAAAGCCCUUUCGCCGGGGAAGAUAAUGACGGUACCCGGUAAAGAAAUCCCGGCUAACUCCGUGCCAGCAGCCGCGGUAAUACGGAGGGGGUUAGCGUUGUUCGGAAUGACUGGGCGUAAGGCGCGCGUAGGCGGACCAUCAAGUCGGGGGUGAAAUCCCGGGGCUCAACCCCGGAAUGGCCUUCGAGACUGGUGGUCUUGAGUUCGAGAGAGGUGAGUGGAAUUCCGAGUGUAGAGGUGAAAUUCGUAGAUAUUCGGAGGAACACCAGUGGCGAAGGCGGCUCACUGGCUCGACACUGGCGCUGAGGUGCGAAAGCGUGGGGAGCAAA
This 400-nucleotide ribosomal RNA is filed under the name uncultured bacterium. RNAcentral's name for it is "bacterial SSU rRNA". It matches the Rfam family "Bacterial small subunit ribosomal RNA", at positions 355 to 772 of the family's 1533-position model. The record is from RNAcentral.